RNAcentral lists this ribosomal RNA (253 nucleotides) under uncultured bacterium. RNAcentral describes it as "partial 16S ribosomal RNA". It matches the Rfam family "Bacterial small subunit ribosomal RNA", at positions 524 to 776 of the family's 1533-position model. The record is from RNAcentral.
GACGGGGGGUCCUAGCGUUGUUCGGAAUCAUUGGGCGUAAAGCGUGUGCAGGUGGCUUUGUAAGUCAGAUGUGAAAGCCCCGGGCUCAACUCGGGAAGUGCAUUUGAAACUACAAAACUUGAAUAUGGAAGAGGGUCGUGGAAUUCCUGGUGUAGUGGUGAAAUACGUAGAUAUCAGGAGGAACACCGGUGGCGAAGGCGGCGACCUGGUCCAAUAUUGACACUCAUACACGAAAGCGUGGGGAUCAAACAGG